RNAcentral lists this ribosomal RNA (528 nucleotides) under Triticum aestivum (bread wheat). RNAcentral's name for it is "partial small subunit ribosomal RNA". The record is from RNAcentral. Lineage: Eukaryota; Viridiplantae; Streptophyta; Magnoliopsida; Poales; Poaceae.
AUGGAGGAUUGCAACCCAAGUUUUGUUCCAAUGGAGCCUCGACUGAAACUUAGCAAAAGGAGUGAAGCCUCUGCGGUUGAUGCAACGGAGUAUAGAAGUGUGGUCGGAAGCCUAAGGUAUCUUGUGAAUACACGACCGGACUUGGCCUAUUCCGUUGGCAUAGUGAGUCGCUUCAUGGAAGCGCCCACGACUGAACAUUGGGCAGCUGUCAAACAUAUACUCAGGUACAUCAAAGGGACAACAAACUUCGGUUGUGUCUAUUUGAGAGAGAAGAAGGAGAUGGUGGAGCUACUUGGCUAUAGUGAUAGCGACCUGGCAGGAGAUGUGGACGACCGUAAAAGUACCUCGGGAGUGGCAUAUUUCUUGGGCGGGAGCAUAGUGACUUGGCUAUCACAAAAGCAAAAGGUGGUCGCAUUAUCAUCAUGCGAAGCGGAGUAUAUUGCAGCUGCGACCGCGGCGGGUCAAGGGGUGUGGCUAGAAGGCUACUCGGUGACCUCACAGAUAAGGAAGCAGAGAGUGUGGUGCUGA